This is a long non-coding RNA of Sapajus apella (tufted capuchin), 1200 nucleotides long. RefSeq lists it as uncharacterized. NCBI's taxonomy places the organism in Eukaryota, Metazoa, Chordata, Mammalia, Primates, Cebidae. The record is from RefSeq and is a predicted model, not a curated record. The transcript is spliced from 3 exons.
UUGGCUUCCCAAAGUGCUGGGAUUAUAGGCGUGAACCACUGCACCCAGCCAGCAACUUCUUGUAUAACAAUGAUUUCAGAGUAAUAUAAGUAAGUAUAGCAUGAGCUACUAGGGUGGGGCAUCAAGAACUUUGAAUACUAGGCUGAGGAAAUUAAUUCAAAAAAAUACAGGUAGGUGAUGAAGAGCCACUGAAAAUGUUCAGGAAAUAGGACUGAACUCAUGCAAUUCCCUUAGUCUCUUGGUAAGCUCUCACUGAAAUAACUGGAAAGCUUUAAUUUUUGGUUUUAUUUGUUAUUUGUUCGUUUUUGGUAAUGAAACCUUAACAUCACUUUUCAACAGGUAAGAUUCAAGGAAAACACAGGAAGUAGAAAGCAAAUGGUGUCAACAAGACAGAAAGAACAGAGGAAGCAGCAGCAUAGAUGGUGGAGGGAAGCCCUGUUCUCUCUAGGAGAAUUCUAGAGAAGCUCUGGGGUGAAUCCAUGCAAAACAAAACAACAAAAAAAAAGUCUCAGGACUUUGAGGCGAGAUUCCCAGGAGGUCCAAAAGCUUGAUCUUCUCUAGUCUCUGGCAUUGGGAGAAAAGUCUGUGAAUGUGCACCAGGUAAGAGUACUAGAAAGUCCUUCUGUCCCUUCACUAGUCUCCCAGAAGCUACCCUUUCUUCUCCAAAAUGACUGCAAGCACAGUUUCUAGCCCCUCCUCCCUCUGGGGCUACCUGGACUAAUUACUGAAAGUUACUUUGAUUCUCAAGAAAAAGCCCAAAAGAGAGUUGUCCCUUUGCUACCAGACAGUCUUUGUUCCUGCCUCUGAAAACCCAAAGCUGUUAACAAGCCCUUAAAAUAACGGAAAUGAGUACAAUGCUGGACAUUCCUAUUUCUAAGGGUCUGGGUAACUGCAAUGCAAUUAUAUUUCCAUUUCUUCUGAGAGUCUCACAUAGUAGUGAGAAUAAUACAGAAAUUAUUAUCAGUACAUUAUCCUGCAAUAUUGCUCUUCAUGUAUAUUUUAAAAGGUUAUCAGCUUAAAAAUCUGGAGAAGAGGUAGAAAAUGCUUGACUUUUGUAGCCACGGCUUUCUUCCUCAUUCAUGGCAGAUAUAGCUAAUUGAUCAUUUCUAUCAAAUGACCGGUACCUGUUUAUGCUAAACAUAGUGGGUGACACAGCCAGUAAUAAUGAACUAGAAUCAGAAAUUGAGAUUAAAAUGUAUA